GGUUAAGCGACUAAGCGUACACGGUGGAUGCCCUGGCAGUCAGAGGCGAUGAAGGACGUGCUAAUCUGCGAUAAGCGCCGGUAAGGUGAUAUGAACCGUUAUAACCGGCGAUUUCCGAAUGGGGAAACCCAGUGUGAUUCGUCACACUAUCAUUAACUGAAUCCAUAGGUUAAUGAGGCGAACCGGGGGAACUGAAACAUCUAAGUACCCCGAGGAAAAGAAAUCAACCGAGAUUCCCCCAGUAGCGGCGAGCGAACGGGGAGGAGCCCAGAGCCUGAAUCAGCAUGUGUGUUAGUGGAAGCGUCUGGAAAGGCGCGCGAUACAGGGUGACAGCCCCGUACACAAAAGCGCAUGUGCUGUGAGCUCGAUGAGUAGGGCGGGACACGUGGUAUCCUGUCUGAAUAUGGGGGGACCAUCCUCCAAGGCUAAAUACUCCUGACUGACCGAUAGUGAACCAGUACCGUGAGGGAAAGGCGAAAAGAACCCCGGCGAGGGGAGUGAAAAAGAACCUGAAACCGUGUACGUACAAGCAGUGGGAGCACAGGUUUACCUGUGUGACUGCGUACCUUUUGUAUAAUGGGUCAGCGACUUAUAUUCUGUAGCAAGGUUAACCGUAUAGGGGAGCCGGAGGGAAACCGAGUCUUAAUUGGGCGUUAAGUUGCAGGGUAUAGACCCGAAACCCGGUGAUCUAGCCAUGGGCAGGUUGAAGGUUGGGUAACACUAACUGGAGGACCGAACCGACUAAUGUUGAAAAAUUAGCGGAUGACCUGUGGCUGGGGGUGAAAGGCCAAUCAAACCGGGAGAUAGCUGGUUCUCCCCGAAAGCUAUUUAGGUAGCGCCUCGUGAAUUCAUCUCCGGGGGUAGAGCACUGUUUCGGCUAGGGGGCCAUCCCGGCUUACCAACCCGAUGCAAACUGCGAAUACCGGAGAAUGUUAUCACGGGAGACACACGGCGGGUGCUAACGUCCGUCGUGAAGAGGGAAACAACCCAGACCGCCAGCUAAGGUCCCAAAGUCAUGGUUAAGUGGGAAACGAUGUGGGAAGGCCCAGACAGCCAGGAUGUUGGCUUAGAAGCAGCCAUCAUUUAAAGAAAGCGUAAUAGCUCACUGGUCGAGUCGGCCUGCGCGGAAGAUGUAACGGGGCUAAACCAUGCACCGAAGCUGCGGCAGCGAACGUAUCACCCAAGACAACUUUACGGAGUUGACGAUUGACGGAGCGAAGCGACGUCAAAGCGUUCAUUAAAGUCGAGUUGGCUUAGGGAUACGUUCGUUGGGUAGGGGAGCGUUCUGUAAGCCUGUGAAGGUGUGUCGUGAGGCAUGCUGGAGGUAUCAGAAGUGCGAAUGCUGACAUAAGUAACGAUAAAGCGGGUGAAAAGCCCGCUCGCCGGAAGACCAAGGGUUCCUGUCCAACGUUAAUCGGGGCAGGGUGAGUCGACCCCUAAGGCGAGGCCGAAAGGCGUAGUCGAUGGGAAACGGGUUAAUAUUCCCGUACUUGGUGUUACUGCGAAGGGGGGACGGAGAAGGCUAUGUUGGCCGGGCGACGGUUGUCCCGGUUUAAGCGUGUAGGUGUGUGUUCCAGGUAAAUCCGGUUCACUUUAACACUGAGGCGUGACGACGAGGCACUACGGUGCUGAAGCAACAAAUGCCCUGCUUCCAGGAAAAGCCUCUAAGCAUCAGGUAACAUCAAAUCGUACCCCAAACCGACACAGGUGGUCAGGUAGAGAAUACCAAGGCGCUUGAGAGAACUCGGGUGAAGGAACUAGGCAAAAUGGUGCCGUAACUUCGGGAGAAGGCACGCUGACACGUAGGUGAAGUGAUUUACUCACGGAGCUGAAGUCAGUCGAAGAUACCAGCUGGCUGCAACUGUUUAUUAAAAACACAGCACUGUGCAAACACGAAAGUGGACGUAUACGGUGUGACGCCUGCCCGGUGCCGGAAGGUUAAUUGAUGGGGUCAGCGCAAGCGAAGCUCCUGAUCGAAGCCCCGGUAAACGGCGGCCGUAACUAUAACGGUCCUAAGGUAGCGAAAUUCCUUGUCGGGUAAGUUCCGACCUGCACGAAUGGCGUAAUGAUGGCCAGGCUGUCUCCACCCGAGACUCAGUGAAAUUGAACUCGCUGUGAAGAUGCAGUGUACCCGCGGCAAGACGGAAAGACCCCGUGAACCUUUACUAUAGCUUGACACUGAACAUUGAGCCUUGAUGUGUAGGAUAGGUGGGAGGCUUUGAAGUGUGGACGCCAGUCUGCAUGGAGCCGACCUUGAAAUACCACCCUUUAAUGUUUGAUGUUCUAACGUGGACCCGUAAUCCGGGUUGCGGACAGUGUCUGGUGGGUAGUUUGACUGGGGCGGUCUCCUCCUAAAGAGUAACGGAGGAGCACGAAGGUUGGCUAAUCCUGGUCGGACAUCAGGAGGUUAGUGCAAUGGCAUAAGCCAGCUUGACUGCGAGCGUGACGGCGCGAGCAGGUGCGAAAGCAGGUCAUAGUGAUCCGGUGGUUCUGAAUGGAAGGGCCAUCGCUCAACGGAUAAAAGGUACUCCGGGGAUAACAGGCUGAUACCGCCCAAGAGUUCAUAUCGACGGCGGUGUUUGGCACCUCGAUGUCGGCUCAUCACAUCCUGGGGCUGAAGUAGGUCCCAAGGGUAUGGCUGUUCGCCAUUUAAAGUGGUACGCGAGCUGGGUUUAGAACGUCGUGAGACAGUUCGGUCCCUAUCUGCCGUGGGCGCUGGAGAACUGAGGGGGGCUGCUCCUAGUACGAGAGGACCGGAGUGGACGCAUCACUGGUGUUCGGGUUGUCAUGCCAAUGGCACUGCCCGGUAGCUAAAUGCGGAAGAGAUAAGUGCUGAAAGCAUCUAAGCACGAAACUUGCCCCGAGAUGAGUUCUCCCUGAGACUUAGAGUCUCCUGAAGGAACGUUGAAGACGACGACGUUGAUAGGCCGGGUGUGUAAGCGCAGCGAUGCGUUGAGCUAACCGGUACUAAUGAACCGUGAGGCUUAACCUU
RNAcentral lists this ribosomal RNA (2992 nucleotides) under Salmonella enterica subsp. enterica serovar Typhimurium. RNAcentral describes it as "23S ribosomal RNA". It matches the Rfam family "Bacterial large subunit ribosomal RNA". Lineage: Bacteria; Pseudomonadati; Pseudomonadota; Gammaproteobacteria; Enterobacterales; Enterobacteriaceae. The record is from RNAcentral.